This 500-nucleotide ribosomal RNA is filed under the name uncultured Myrionecta. RNAcentral's name for it is "SSU rRNA". It matches the Rfam family "Eukaryotic small subunit ribosomal RNA", at positions 34 to 595 of the family's 1831-position model. Lineage: Eukaryota; Ciliophora; Litostomatea; Cyclotrichida; Mesodiniidae. The record is from RNAcentral.
CGGACUCAAGACUAGCCAUGCACGUCUAGUACAAACUAAAUGAUGGUGAAACUGCAAAUGGCUCAUUACAACGGUUAUGAUGUACCCGGGAGUUCCGAUGGAUAUUUCCAGUAACACUAGAACUAAUACAUGUCCCUGCGUUUAUUAGUUUCGCACAGUCCGUCGCUGAGUCAUGGUAAACAGUUGAUCGACUCGACGUCCCGGAACAGUUUCCGCCCCAUCAGCUUCGAUGGUUGGGUAUUGGCCUACCAUUGCAACAACGGGUAACGAGGAAUUAGGGUUUGAUUUCGGAGAGGGAGCCUGAGAAACGGCUACCACAUCUACGGAUGGCAGCAGGCGCGCAAAUUACCCAAUGCAGACACUGUGAGGUAGUGACGAGAAAUAAUAAAGCGGGACUUCUGUUUCGCUAUUAUAAUGAGGAAUAACCAAAGGUCAUUCCGAUUAGCAACUGAUGGGAAAGUCUGGUGCCAGCAGCCGCGGUAAUACCAGCGUCAGUAGCA